Molecule: ribosomal RNA, 296 nt
Filed under: uncultured soil bacterium
Lineage: Bacteria
Description: partial 16S ribosomal RNA
Rfam family: Bacterial small subunit ribosomal RNA
Source: RNAcentral
AGAACGAACGCUGGCGGCGUGGAUAAGACAUGCAAGUCGAACGAGACUUUUUCCCUAGCAAUAGGGAGAAGGUCUAGUGGCGUAAGGGUGCGUAACACGUGGGCAACCUGCCGAGAAGUGGGGGAUAGCUCGCCGAAAGGCGAAUUAAUACCGCAUGUGGUCAGCGAAACAUUUUCGCCAGACCAAAGCCGGGGCAACCUGGCGCUUUUCGAUGGGCCCGCGGCCUAUCAGCUAGUUGGUGAGGUAAUAGCUUACCAAGGCAAUGACGGGUAGACUGGUCUGAGGAGGACGACCAG